RNAcentral lists this ribosomal RNA (1536 nucleotides) under Triticum aestivum (bread wheat). RNAcentral describes it as "partial small subunit ribosomal RNA". The record is from RNAcentral. Lineage: Eukaryota; Viridiplantae; Streptophyta; Magnoliopsida; Poales; Poaceae.
AUGAGCUCCCCCGAGCAGGCCCUCCGACCGGCCGCCGCCCCUCGCUGUCUGCUAGGGUUGAGGUUGUCAGCCUUCUCCGCCGCGCCACCUUCCCUCCACCGGCAGAUCCGGUUCGGCUCCUCGGACGGCAAGGUGCUUGGCGAGGAGAAGGACGCCCGGAAGUUGACCCAGAUCCGGUUCGGCUCCUCCGGUGGCAAGGUGCUCUGUUGGCAAGUUGCCCCUGCUGAUCUCCUCCUCCUCUGCAAGGUGCUCUGGCAGCAAGGUGCCUCUGCUGGUCCCCUCCUCGUCUGCAACAACAACAGCAGCAACCAGUGCAAGGAAAGGAAGAGCUGCAGCGCCGCCCUCCUGGACGACGUCUGGUCCGCGAUCCUCUGCCGCCGCCGGUGCGCCGGCGCCAACGUGCCGUUGCGCAGCCUCCAGGUCGCCUUCGACAGCUGCAACGGAUGGGACCGCUGCCAUGUCGACCAGUGGCUCUCCUGCGUGCUGCGGCACAGCAGCCAGGAGCUGCACCUCGACCUGACCUUCCGCCUCGGCCCGAUCUGCCCACACGCCAAUGAUCGCGACAUGCUCGGGCGCGGCAGAGGGGGCGGCUGGUAUGACCUGCCGAGAAAUCUCCUCUGCUGCACCGCUAUACGCUCGCUGUGCCUCGCCUAUUGCACGCUGAAUCUACCGGAGGUCAUCAACCUACCAUCCCUCGAGACGCUGCGCCUGACCGGCGUGCGCUGCAGUUCCGAGGCCGGCGUCCAGCGGUUGAUCGCGAGCUGCCCCCGUCUGGUGGACCUGGCCCUAGAAGCCAACCUAGGGGUAGACAAAGUCUCUGUCCUCGAUAGACGCCUCCGCCGGUUCGCCCUUCGGUGCUGCCACGACGUGGACUCUGUUGACAUCGACGCCUCGGAGCUCAUGGCCCUGGACUACUGCGGCACGGUUCCCGCGGAGUCGCUCCUGUCUCUGCACGGCAUUCCGGCGAUCAUCCAGUCGUGCACGGUCGAUUUCUGCCGAGUCCUUUCCGGGGAGGCGGAGUUCGCCGGGUUCAAGAGGUUUAUGGAGAAAAUCUCCGGCGCGAAGCAGGUCCGUCUGCACCAUCGACGCCUUCCGGCGAGAUCCUUCGAGGGGUUCCCUUCGUUUCCAAACCUGACGCGGCUGGGGCUGCAAGGCCCCCUUCAGAGUCCCGACGUUGUGCGCCAGAUCCUGGAGCAAACGCCAAACCUGGAGAUCCUCUCGCUUUUCAUGGUUCCUGACGAGUUCAACACUCGUGAUGAGCCGACUCUGUCGAUUCCCGACGAGUUCAUUGCUCCUGAUGAGUCGAGCUUCUCCGAUAUCCCAUGCUUGCAGAACCGUGUGAGGGAGAUCAACAUGGUUCAUUACGAAGGUAACAAGCUGCAGAGCGCCAUGGCCAAGCUUUUGUUCCGGAACGCGCUGCUUCUUGAAAGGUACUGCGUCGUGCUCGUCAAGGGACCCUUCGCGUUGCAGGAUGGACUCAAGAAGGAGAUCCAAAGCUGGGUGGUGGCUGCCCAUGCAGAACCCAUUUUCCUGUGA